Molecule: ribosomal RNA, 356 nt
Filed under: uncultured bacterium
Lineage: Bacteria
Description: bacterial SSU rRNA
Rfam family: Bacterial small subunit ribosomal RNA
Source: RNAcentral
CGUAAAGCGUGCGUAGGCGGUUUGUUAAGUCCGCUGUGAAAGCCCUGGGCUCAACCUGGGAAUUGCAGUGGAUACUGGCAAGCUAGAGUGCGGUAGAGGAUGGUGGAAUUCCCGGUGUAGCGGUGAAAUGCGUAGAGAUCGGGAGGAACACCCGUGGCGAAGGCGGCCAUCUGGACCAGCACUGACGCUGAGGCACGAAAGCGUGGGGAGCAAACAGGAUUAGAUACCCUGGUAGUCCACGCCCUAAACGAUGCGAACUGGACGUUGGGUGGACUUAGCCACUCAGUGUCGAAGCUAACGCGUUAAGUUCGCCGCCUGGGGAGUACGGUCGCAAGACUGAAACUCAAAGGAAUUGA